This 64-nucleotide transfer RNA is filed under the name Raeta sp. Its description in RNAcentral is "tRNA-Asn". The record is from RNAcentral. Lineage: Eukaryota; Metazoa; Mollusca; Bivalvia; Venerida; Anatinellidae.
CAGGUUUUAGUUUAUAUAAGAACAAUCGGCUGUUAAUCGAUAAGAGAAGUGCUUUCAAACUUGG